AAACGGUCCCUGGGCCUGAGAGACGAAGUGGCCCUGGCAGCCCCGGUUUUCCACAAUUGUCUCUAGAACCCAGCAAGAGCUCAGCAGCGGUUCCUUUCCUGUAGGUCUUGGGAGCAUUGCAGCUCAGACAAGCUCCGUGAUUGUCCACUGUAUUAUUUGAUUGAAGUCUGACUAUAAGUCAGUCUCUCUCUCCCUCCCUCUCUCGAUUUCUCCGCCAGGUACUGUGCUAAACUGUUGACACAGAAAACUGCUGAACCCUUACCCCAGCCUUGCAAGAUUUAUCUUCAUUGAUAGAGGCAGAAGCAGAAGCCUAAGUUCGAGCCUAAGUUCAAGUUAGUGUUGCUUCUGCUCUAUGAAGACUCUCUGGUCCGUCCCAAACAGGCAGGACGGAAGAGGGAGAAUGUGUUCUUGGAGAAGGAGAUGACCGGACAAGGAGGGCUGCAGGAGAGAUCUGGGGGCCAAGAGAGGCUGCAGCAUGGAGGGAGCAAAGUUGGUGUCCUUGAAUUUCAAAGGCAUGUAAAUAUCAGCAUCCCAACUGGAGGUAUGUGGGGGGCCUUGGGGAAUGUGGAUUUGGCUUCAGGCCCUGCAGGCCGAUUCUGAUGGCCUUGGGAGAGCCCUUCAACUGACAAGCUUGGUUAGAUUCCAGGAAGGUUCUUUGGGAUGAGACAGGGAGAGUUUGGGAUGAUGGCCCGAGAAGUCACCUAGUCCAUUUCCCUACCUUCCUAGUUCUUUAGCAGUGGAGCUUAGAUCGGGGUAAUGGUAUUAAUGGGGCUAGAGGGCAAGAAGCUAGGAGAAAGGCUCUAGGGCCUGAUGACCAUCACAAGCUGCAACACCAGCCGGCGCAUGCCAGCCUGGUCUUCCUAGGCUUGUUCACCUCAUUAGACUGCCCCAAUGGCCAGGUGAGGGAGGUCAGAGGCCCACCACCCAGCCAGGUAUUGGUUCCAGUAACAGUGGGGGUGCAAGAGCCCUUGAGCACCUGCCUACCACAUGCCAAGCCCUGUGCUUGCUUUAUCCUAUUUAAUCCUUGAGGAAACUCUGCAAGUUAGAGAUUAAUACAGUAUUUUUAGAAUCCAAGACAUCAUAUACCAUUAAGAAUAAAAAACCAGAAAUUUAACCUUCA
RNAcentral lists this long non-coding RNA (1120 nucleotides) under Sus scrofa (pig). RNAcentral describes it as "lncRNA (ENSSSCG00070000861.1)". Lineage: Eukaryota; Metazoa; Chordata; Mammalia; Artiodactyla; Suidae. The record is from RNAcentral.